CUUCGGGAAACCGGGAAGCUAAUACCGGAUAAUAUUUCGAACCGCAUGGUUCGAUAGUGAAAGAUGGUUUUGCUAUCACUUAUAGAUGGACCCGCGCCGUAUUAGCUAGUUGGUAAGGUAACGGCUUACCAAGGCGACGAUACGUAGCCGACCUGAGAGGGUGAUCGGCCACACUGGAACUGAGACACGGUCAAGACUCCUACGGGAGGCAGCAGAU
Molecule: ribosomal RNA, 217 nt
Filed under: uncultured Staphylococcus sp.
Lineage: Bacteria; Bacillati; Bacillota; Bacilli; Caryophanales; Staphylococcaceae
Description: partial 16S ribosomal RNA
Rfam family: Bacterial small subunit ribosomal RNA
Source: RNAcentral